Molecule: long non-coding RNA, 198 nt
Organism: Ipomoea nil (Japanese morning glory)
Lineage: Eukaryota; Viridiplantae; Streptophyta; Magnoliopsida; Solanales; Convolvulaceae
Exons: 3
Source: RefSeq, a predicted model, not a curated record
GGAACCAACCACGACCUUUGGAGUCCGAUUGGGGAUGGUCGUCGUGCUGAAUCCGACGGUAAAUAUUCUCAACUACAGGUUGAUUUGGGCCCCAAUGCAAUGCCGAUCGAUUGUUUUGUGUUCCCCUUGGGUGGAGUUGACUUGAUUCUAGGCAUAGCAUGGUUAGAGACACUGGGGGAUGUCACGUGGAAUUGGGCA